This 464-nucleotide ribosomal RNA is filed under the name uncultured bacterium. RNAcentral's name for it is "bacterial SSU rRNA". It matches the Rfam family "Bacterial small subunit ribosomal RNA", at positions 917 to 1382 of the family's 1533-position model. The record is from RNAcentral.
GGGCCCGCACAAGCGGCGGAGCAUGCGGCUUAAUUCGAUGCAACGCGAAGAACCUUACCUAGGCUUGACAUAUAGCGUUUACCGGCAGAGAUGUCGGGUCCUUCGGGGCGCUAUACAGGUGGUGCAUGGCUGUCGUCAGCUCGUGUCGUGAGAUGUUGGGUUAAGUCCCGCAACGAGCGCAACCCUCGUUCUAUGUUGCCAGCAAGUAAUGUUGGGGACUCAUAGGAGACUGCCGGGGUCAACUCGGAGGAAGGUGGGGACGACGUCAAGUCAUCAUGCCCCUUAUGUCUAGGGCUGCACGCAUGCUACAAUGGCUGGUACAAAGGGCUGCAAGACCGCAAGGUGGAGCGAAUCCCAUAAAGCCAGUCUCAGUUCGGAUUGGGGUCUGCAACUCGACCCCAUGAAGUUGGAGUCGCUAGUAAUCGCAGAUCAGCAACGCUGCGGUGAAUACGUUCCCGGGCCUU